RNAcentral lists this long non-coding RNA (611 nucleotides) under Arabidopsis lyrata. Its description in RNAcentral is "long non-coding RNA (ALYR_LNC002309)". The record is from RNAcentral. Lineage: Eukaryota; Viridiplantae; Streptophyta; Magnoliopsida; Brassicales; Brassicaceae.
AUAAAUCGGUACAACUGGUACAAAUAGUUAUGGACAACUGGUACAAAUGGUUCUACUGAAACAAAGCAAUUUGUAAUUCUAAACCCUAAUUCUAAACUCUAGCGCCGUCACACUCAAUAAUUUGUCUCUUCUUGCUUUGUUCACUAUCGUUGUCGCCGAUUAUCACCAUCACCCUUCCUCGUCGAAGUUUGUGGACCGUCUUCUCUCACCAAACGAUUGUGCACUACAAAUGACGAAAGCACGAAGAGAAAUCCAUGGAGAAGAAGCUUGAAGAGAGAUCCAUGAUUUUUAAAUCUCAGAAAUCCAUGGAGAAGAAGCAUGAAGAGAGAUCUGAUCUAUAAAGAAGUGCGAAGAGAGAUCCAUGAAGAAGAAAAGAUCUAGAGUUUUAUUGAUGAUGAUAAUGGAGAAAAAGAGAAUGAAAGAUCUAAAAAACCUAGAAAAAGUAAAAAAGAAGGAGAAGAAAAAUAAGAGGAGGCGUGAAAGAAGAAGAAGAAGAAGAGUAGUUAUGUUAUUGGAUUGAUAAAAGUAAGGGUAAGUAUACGUAAUAAUUAGAUUAGGGUAAGGGUUUUUUGUCUUUUCAUAUUUAUUUGAUUUAAAUUAAUUUUUUCACG